RNAcentral lists this ribosomal RNA (392 nucleotides) under uncultured bacterium. Its description in RNAcentral is "partial 16S ribosomal RNA". It matches the Rfam family "Bacterial small subunit ribosomal RNA", at positions 523 to 918 of the family's 1533-position model. The record is from RNAcentral.
AUACGGAGGACGCGAGCGUUAUCCGGAUUCAUUGGGUUUAAAGGGAGCGUAGGCGGGAGCUUAAGUCAGCGGUUAAAUGGUGCGGCUCAACCGUGCCCUGCCGUUGAAACUGGGUUUCUUGAGAGUGCAAGAGGCGGAUGGAAUUCAUGGGGUAGCGGGGAAAUGCUUAGAUAUCAUGAAGAACUCCGAUUGCGAAGGCAGUCCGCUGGGGCACGUCUGACGCUGAUGCUCGAAGGUGCGGGAAUCAAACAGGAUUAGAUACCCUGGUAGUCCGCACGGUAAACGAUGAUUACCCGCUGUCGGCGGCAGACAGUCGGCGGCCAAGCGAAAGCGAUAAGUAAUCCACCUGGGGAGUACGCCGGCAACGGUGAAACUCAAAUGAAUGGACGGGG